Molecule: ribosomal RNA, 256 nt
Filed under: uncultured bacterium
Lineage: Bacteria
Description: partial 16S ribosomal RNA
Rfam family: Bacterial small subunit ribosomal RNA
Source: RNAcentral
UACAGAGGUCUCAAGCGUUGCUCGGAUUCGAUUGGGCGUAAAGGGUGCGUAGACGGCGCGGUAAGUCGGGGUGUGAAAUUUCGAGGCUUAACUUCGAAACUGCAUUCGAUACUGCCGUGCUUGAGGACUGGAGAGGAGACUGGAAUUUACGGUGUAGCGGUGAAAUGCGUAGAUAUCGUCUGGAACGCCGAAGGUGAAAACAGCUCGCUGGGGCUGCGCUGACGCUGAGACACGAAAGCCAGGGGGAGCGAACGGG